Molecule: transfer RNA, 72 nt
Filed under: Cavia porcellus (domestic guinea pig)
Lineage: Eukaryota; Metazoa; Chordata; Mammalia; Rodentia; Caviidae
Rfam family: tRNA
About the family: Transfer RNA (tRNA) molecules are approximately 80 nucleotides in length. Their secondary structure includes four short double-helical elements and three loops (D, anti-codon, and T loops).
Source: Rfam by way of RNAcentral
AGCGAUGUGGCUCAAUGGUAGAGCUCUUGCCUUCCAUGCGAAAGGCACUAGGUUGAAUCCCCAGCACCACCA